GUGGGGAAUAUUGGACAAUGGGGGGAACCCUGAUCCAGCCAUGCCGCGUGUGUGAAGAAGGCCUUUUGGUUGUAAAGCACUUUAAGCGAGGAGGAGGCUACCGAGAUUAAUACUCUUGGAUAGUGGACGUUACUCGCAGAAUAAGCACCGGCUAACUCUGUGCCAGCAGCAGCGGUAAUACAGAGGAUGCAAGCGUUAAUCGGAUUUACUGGGCGUAAAGCGCGCGUAGGUGGCCAAUUAAGUCAAAUGUGAAAUCCCCGAGAUUAACUUGGGAAUUGCAUUCGAUACUGGUUGGCUAGAGUAUGGGAGAGGAUGGUAGAAUUCCAGGUGUAGCGGUGAAAUGCGUAGAGAUCUGGAGGAAUACCGAUGGCGAAGGCAGCCAUCUGGCCUAAUACUGACACUGAGGUGCGAAAGCAUGGGGAGCAAACAGGAUUAGAUACCCUGGUAGUCC
Molecule: ribosomal RNA, 451 nt
Filed under: uncultured bacterium
Lineage: Bacteria
Description: partial 16S ribosomal RNA
Rfam family: Bacterial small subunit ribosomal RNA
Source: RNAcentral